GAUGAACGCUGGCGGCGUGCUUAACACAUGCAAGUCGAACGGAAAGGCCCAAGCUUGCUUGGGUACUCGAGUGGCGAACGGGUGAGUAACACGUGGGUGAUCUGCCCUGCACUUCGGGAUAAGCCUGGGAAACUGGGUCUAAUACCGGAUAGGACCACUUCUUGGAUGUUGUGGUGGAAAGUUUUUUCGGUGUGGGAUGAGCUCGCGGCCUAUCAGCUUGUUGGUGGGGUAAUGGCCUACCAAGGCGUCGACGGGUAGCCGGCCUGAGAGGGUGUACGGCCAAAUUGGGACCGAGAUACGGCCCAGACUCCUACGGGAGGCAGCAGUGGGGAAUAUUGCACAAUGGGCGCAAGCCUGAUGCAGCGACGCCGCGUGGGGGAUGACGGCCUUCGGGUUGGAAACUCCUUUCGCUAGGGACGAAGCGUUUUGUGACGGUACCUGGAGAAGAAGCACCGGCUAACUACGUG
This 467-nucleotide ribosomal RNA is filed under the name uncultured bacterium. RNAcentral describes it as "partial 16S ribosomal RNA". It matches the Rfam family "Bacterial small subunit ribosomal RNA", at positions 28 to 507 of the family's 1533-position model. The record is from RNAcentral.